GUAGACGCGCGGAGUGUGAGCGAGCAGCGCAGAGAUUGAGCGGAACGGAGGGAAAGACGCCUGUAGUGCAAGGAUGCUCCUGAAUAUGUUUCCUUCACUCAUUCGGGAAGAGCGCGUCUAGAGCGGCGGAGACGUGACGGAAUCCUUUCCUGCGUUUUCUCAUGAACAUUUACAAUUUAUAGGCACGAGAAGGACAAGAGAUAAAGGUUUGAGGGCUUCAACUACAAUCAUCGUUCAUUCCUGUGGUCUCUCCCAUCAAUCACCGGUCAGACGGUCUGGUCUGUCUGGCUGCCCGUGCCAGUGCUGAGGGUGGUGCAUCAUUUCCAAGGAGCCAACUAUUCACCUUAAGAUCUCUGCAGUCCGUUCAGUACGG
Molecule: non-coding RNA, 373 nt
Organism: Danio rerio (zebrafish)
Lineage: Eukaryota; Metazoa; Chordata; Actinopteri; Cypriniformes; Danionidae
Source: Ensembl